UACGGGAGGGCAGCAGUGGGGAAUAUUGCACAAUGGGCGCAAGCCUGAUGCAGCCAUGCCGCGUGUAUGAAGAAGGCCUUCGGGUUGUAAAGUACUUUCAGUCGUGAGGAAGGUGUUAAGGUUAAUAACCUUAGCAAUUGACGUUAGCGACAGAAGAAGCACCGGCUAACUCCGUGCCAGCAGCCGCGGUAAUACGGAGGGUGCGAGCGUUAAUCGGAAUUACUGGGCGUAAAGGGCACGCAGGCGGUUAAUUAAGUUGGAUGUGAAAUCCCCGGGCUUAACCUGGGAAUGGCAUUCAAGACUGGUUAGCUAGAGUCUUGUAGAGGGGGUAGAAUUCCAUGUGUAGCGGUGAAAUGCGUAGAGAUGUGGAGGAAUACCGGUGGCGAAGGCGGCCCCUGGGACAAAGACUGACGCUCAUGUGCGAAAGCGUGGGGAGCAAACAGGAUUAGAUACC
Molecule: ribosomal RNA, 454 nt
Filed under: uncultured bacterium
Lineage: Bacteria
Description: bacterial SSU rRNA
Rfam family: Bacterial small subunit ribosomal RNA
Source: RNAcentral